UAAGAGAGAAUCAGUCCAUUGGAUUAACAAAACCAUCUACAAGGAUCACAUCACCCUCAAAGAUUACGAGAUCCACGACGGCAUGGGCCUCGAGCUCUACUACAACUAAAAUUCCUCUUCAAAGGUGCUAUUAAUGGGGUAAUAUAGUAUGUGCUGGAAACUGGAUAAAUGUGUCGAAUGUAACUCUUGACUUGCAAAAAACCCCUUUGAUUGGAAUAAUGUACAUACCCGGAUGAUAUUGGGUUUAAUUUGCUGUUGGAACAAUCUGUUACUUUGUUAUAGAUAACAUAUUUGACAUGUUCCUGGUUUAUAUGAAUAUGCACUAUUUGUGGAACUAUCAUUGCCCUCUAAAUUCUAUUCAAAUCUAGAUAUUCAUACUCUUUACGUUCUUCAU
Arachis ipaensis is the source of this 394-nucleotide non-coding RNA. NCBI's taxonomy places the organism in Eukaryota, Viridiplantae, Streptophyta, Magnoliopsida, Fabales, Fabaceae. The record is from RefSeq and is a predicted model, not a curated record.